ACAAACGUGGAUGUUGGAAGAGUUGAUAUCUAUAAAGGUAGCACUGAAAGAUUACAAACGUGGAUGUUGGGAGAGUUGAUAUCUAUAAAGGUAGCACUGAAAGAUUUAACCAAAAUUACAAAUGUGGAUGUUGGGACAGUUGAUAUCUAUAAAGGUAGCACUGAAAGAUUUAACCAAAAUUACAAAUGUGGAUGUUGGGAGAUUUGAUAUCUAUAAAGGUAGCACUGAAAGAUUUAACCAAAAUUACAAACGUGGAUGUUGGGAGAGUUGAUAUCUAUAAAGGUAGCACUGAAAGAUUUAACCAAAAUUACAUCUACUUCACAGGAUAAGGUUGAGUUUGGCAGUAUACUUCACCAGUCUUAAAGACACGAAGGAGAGGAAAAUUUACCAUGAAAUCUGAAACUGUUCAGAAAAGCUUUAUACGUGCACAAAGCAGAAAUUGUGACAUUCGUAC
This is a long non-coding RNA of Limulus polyphemus (Atlantic horseshoe crab), 454 nucleotides long. RefSeq lists it as uncharacterized. NCBI's taxonomy places the organism in Eukaryota, Metazoa, Arthropoda, Merostomata, Xiphosura, Limulidae. The transcript is spliced from 3 exons. The record is from RefSeq and is a predicted model, not a curated record.